RNAcentral lists this ribosomal RNA (113 nucleotides) under Panthera tigris altaica (Amur tiger). Lineage: Eukaryota; Metazoa; Chordata; Mammalia; Carnivora; Felidae. The record is from RNAcentral.
AACAUUUAGCAGAGACUAUUGAAGCCACCUGGUCCCAGGAGACCCCAGAAGGCGGCCACAUUCCCUGGUGCUGGGGCAAGGUCAUUAAGGGUGAAGCCUGGUGCCAGAUGUGU